GGUUUAGUGAGGCUUCCUGACUGGCGCCGAUACUCUGGCAACAGAGCGUCGGAUGCCAGAAAGUUGGUCAAACUUGAUCAUUUAGAGGAAGUAAAAGUCGUAACAAGGUUUCCGUAGGUGAACCUGCGGAAGGAUCAUUACCGAUAAGAAAGCCACAACGAACAAGUCGUUGUCUGUUGCUCUGUGAACCGUACUGGACCUUACUCAGGGGUCGGCCCGGGGGGCCGUUAAAUGGCGAUCGGACGGGAGGCCCGCCCCGCGGGCUCUCGCGGCCGCUUCGCCUGCCCCGCCCUUGUUUUUCAUCAACAACGUACGUGUCUUGUAGUCUGACGUGGAGGCGUCCGCCUCCUGAGAUAGAAAAAAAUGCGAGAGAGACAACUUUUGACGGUGGAUCUCUUGGCUCACGCAUCGAUGAAGAACGCAGCCAGCUGCGAUAAGUAGUGUGAAUUGCAGAAUUCAGUGAAUCAUCGAAUCUUUGAACGCAAAUGGCGCUCUUGGGUUCUCCCAGGAGCAUGUCUGUCUGAGUGUCGGAUUGUCAUCCAUCGCAGGUGCGCGCUCGCUCCCCAGCCACCGUGCGCCGGCGGCGUUGAGGCGUCACGGCCUUCCCCCGGUCGGCCGUGUCCCUCGAAAGGCAGAGAGACUCGCUGUGGUUCGGGGCUGCUUCCCGCAGCGCUCCAGCGGAGGCUAAAAGUGUCAGCACUCCUUCGCGCGCUGCAGGCUCCCCGCUGCGCCCGAGUCGCCUAGGCGAACCAAAGCAACCAAGCUUCUUCUUGACCUCAGAUCAGGCA
RNAcentral lists this small RNA (788 nucleotides) under Leptoria phrygia. Its description in RNAcentral is "eukaryotic LSU rRNA". The stretch from base 377 to 530 matches the Rfam family "5.8S ribosomal RNA". Lineage: Eukaryota; Metazoa; Cnidaria; Anthozoa; Scleractinia; Merulinidae. The record is from RNAcentral.